Molecule: ribosomal RNA, 301 nt
Filed under: uncultured bacterium
Lineage: Bacteria
Description: partial 16S ribosomal RNA
Rfam family: Bacterial small subunit ribosomal RNA
Source: RNAcentral
CAGCAGCCGCGGGAAUACGAAGGGUGCAAGCGUUACUCGGAAUUACUGGGCGUAAUGCGUGCGUAGGUGGUGGUUUAAGUCCGUUGUGAAAGCCCUGGGCUCAACCUGGGAAUUGCAGUGGAUACUGGGUCACUAGAGUGUGGUAGAGGAUAGUGGAAUUUCCGGUGUAGCAGUGAAAUGCGUAGAGAUCUGGAGAAAUACCGGUGGCGAAGGCGGCCCCCUGGACAAAGACUGACGCUCAGGUGCGAAAGCGUGGGGAGCAAACAGGAUUAGAUACCCCUGUAGUCCCUGUCUCUUAUAC